Ananas comosus (pineapple) is the source of this 3950-nucleotide long non-coding RNA. RefSeq lists it as uncharacterized. The transcript has 6 exons. The record is from RefSeq and is a predicted model, not a curated record. NCBI's taxonomy places the organism in Eukaryota, Viridiplantae, Streptophyta, Magnoliopsida, Poales, Bromeliaceae.
GUCAGGUUUUCAAAAAAAAAAAUUUAUAGCUAAUUUUUCCGCUGUGCUUUUGAACCUAAAAGGGACCCCGGGGCGUGACAAUAACACUCUUAGUAGAACACUGUUAUAAAAUAUUUGUUGGCGAACAUGUAUGCCUGACAAUGUCUCUUACAGCUUAAUAGAACACUCUUAUUAUUCUAAUGCUUCCGAACAUGUAUGCGUUGUAAUCUUACCCUCUUAUGGCAUAAUAAAAUAUUUUUAGGGCGUAAUAGAACAGUCUUAUCAGCUUUAGGAUUGUGAACACUUUUAUGCCAUAAUAGAACACUUGUAAAUGUUAAUAGAACAUUCUUAAUAGGUUUGCAUUCUUACUCUAUUGCGAACAUGUAUCUUACCCUCAUAUGUAUGCAUUGCAAUCUUACUCUAUUAUACACUGCAUGUAUACCACUCUUUUCAUUUUUACGCUUCCGAAUAUAUAUGCGUUGCAAUCUUACCCUCUUAUGGCAUAAUAGAAUAUUUUUAGGGCGUAAUAGAAUAGUCCUAUCAGCUUUAGGAUUGUGAACACUUUUAUGUCAUAAUAGAACACUUGUAAAGGUUAAUAGAACACUCUUAAUAGGUUUGCAUUCUUACUCUAUUGCGAACAUGUCUCUUACCCUCAUAUGUAUGCAUUGCAAUCUUACUCUAUUAUACACUGCAUGUAUAUCACUCUUUUCAUUUUUAUGCUUUCGAACAUGUAUGCGUUGCAAUCUUAUUCUUUUAUGGCAUACUAGAAUAGUUUUAAGGCGUAAUAGAACAGUCCUAUCAGCUUUAGGUUUGUAAACACUUUUAUGCCAUAAUAGAACAUUUGUAAAGGUUAAUAGAACACUCUUAAUAGGUUUGCAUUCUUACUCUAUUGCGAACAUGUAUCUUACCCUCAUAUGUAUGCAUAGCAAUCUUACUACACCGGUUGUUGUGGGCAGAUCUUCGCAUUCUGUAGUCAAGGCACAUCUUCGCAUUCUGCAGAGAAAAGAACAGACAGGCCAUCCAAAGCUGAAAGGCCGACUAUCGAGCUUGUUGUGGGCAGAUGUUACCCAGUUCAUCUGCACACCACAAUGUGUGUUUCAGAGUUGCCGAAGAUUGUGGGCAGAAUUUAGACAGCUGGCCCAGUGUUAUGUGAUGUUAUGUCCGAUGAACAGAUGUCACUUCUGAAAACUACAUUCUUUUCUUAUCUCGACUUGCCUCCAAUUAAGCAAGAUCUUGUGUUAGUUGAUUCCUUCCUCAGUUUUUGGGACGAAGAGAGAAGAGGUAUAAGAAUUGGAGAAACCUUUCUUCCCCUUAUUCCAGAGAUCUCCAUUUUGGUAAGGCUGCCAGCACAGUGGGAACCAAUAGAAUGGCAGAACAAGAGUGUAAAAUCGAGCACUCUUGAUAAAUACUUCAAUGGUGACUAUUGGCGUGCCGAUAGGUCAAAAUUACGACAUAUUUUGUACAGUCUUGCUCGUCAGAAUGGAGAGGAGAUGGCAGCUGAUUUUAUGCGUAUAUUUAUAUUAUACGUAUUUGUGAUCGUCCUCUUUUCUACCAGCCAUUACAAUGUGCCGAAGGCACUAUAUAGAUAUAUAGAUGAUGUACAUAGAAUAGGGGAAUAUGCCUGGGGUCAUGCUGUAUGUAAUUAUCUUGUAAAUUCGAUCUUCAGAGCCUCCCCACGUGUGAGUGUCGAAAUAGCGGCCAAGAAAGAGUUGGCGGCUAUAUCGACGGCUGUACAAUAGUAUUUCUGAGUUCGGCUUACGAGCAUAUAAAGGGGUUGGGUAAUUCCGACGGAGACAAGGCUAUCCCUCGGAUGAGAAAAUGAAAAGGUUCAACAGCCUAUAGGAGUUACGAGAAUCUACUAAAAAAGCUGCAGAGCUAUACUUCUUCAGAGGUUGUACCCACAUUUACGUACCGCCUUGAUGAUAUCUUAAUAUUGAACCGUACGUUACGUGGCAGCCUGCCGGAGCAGGUAUUGCUGAAUUUAGUUAGCAGAAAAUAUUAUUUGGUUAGUGUUGUCAAAUUCUGAUAUUGUCCUUUCGUACAUUUCUCUCAAAGCACCGUACAGGCAGCGGUCCCCGUGGGAACAGCUGCUGUCGGUGAAAGUAGCAAUAAUAUUAGCUCCUUAUUGACUAAAUUGGAGCAAACUGUAAAUAAACUAGAAGAUCAGAAUAAAUUUUUGGAGGAGGAGAAUGCGAUGUUAAAGAAAAAAAUGCCAAUCUGGAAGCGCAACUAUCCAGCGCCACCACAGCCGUUGCUGCAGAAGGCGGAGCCGGAGCCGGUGUUGAUCCACCUCAAGGUGGCCAAGGCACAGCGGUUGAAGAAAGCAGCCAACAUAGAGUUGAUGUUGGCGAUACUGUAAUAAGGGACAUUCCUUCUAGAAUUGAACGACUUAAAGGGCGUGAAAGGAAAUAGAAGAGAAUGUCCCCUGAUUUGACGCUGGGCGAACGUCGUGUGACUCGGCAUUAUAGAAGAAAGCAGCGACAUCCUUUGAAGAUCGGGGGGGCCAAAGUUGGUGAAAAGGCAUCAGAUACUGUGUCAGGGACCAUUGCGGAGGUCCUUAUGGUAAUAUAUGAUGUACUUGAUUAAUUUUAGUGUAAAUAAACUUAUAUCAUAUAAAAUAUGACUUUUGCACGUGAUUUGGUUCAUAAUAGAAAAUGAAAGAUGAACUUGGACAUUCAGAAAGUGCAUUACCAGCUGUUCAGGUUGAUGAUGUCACUACACCGGUUGAGUCCCCUGGGUUAAUAAUUGAGCGUCGUCGCAACUACCCCGGAAGAGAUAAUAUUCCCAAAGAUGAGCGGGAUGCAAUAAAUUUUCUAAUAUCCCGACCUAUUACAAAGUUCAUUAAUCUUUAUGUACAUGUAGUGAUUAGUUAGCAUUAAAUAUAUUUGGCAAAAUAUUCGAGCUUAACUAUUUAGCAAUUCUUUUCUUUCGUAUUAUUAUAUAUAUAUUUUUUUAAUAGGGGAUCCAUAUGACAAGAUGAUAUGAAAGGGUUAGAUUCGCCUUCUGUUAGCGGUCAAGUCCUUGAUUACUUAUUUGGAGGCCCGACGCGCGACGAGGUGAUUAACGUAUAUUUCUAUAUAAUUGAUAAGCUGGAUUGCAUUGGUGUACAUAAAUUUAGUCAACCUGGUAUUUUCUGCCGAAGUGAAGUUGCGAUGCACGUACUCAAUAAGAUGCAGGCAAUUGGAAAGGAUGAGGCACUAACUGCUGAUUUUGUUAGGGAUGUUGCUUUUGGAUCCACAUCUAUAAGACACUUUCUGGAAAAAAUAAAUGCACAUACCUGCAGUAAGAAUAUAUUUGUACUUAUUCCUGUACAUAGUAAUUGGCAUUGGCAUUUACUAUCAAUUGGUUUGAAGGAAGGGCGUUUUGAGAGUUGGAACUCAUUGUGGAGUCACAGUGGGGCAAAGGACGCGGCAUAGCUGCUGGCGACGUGGUUUUCGUCCUAUUUUGAGCACAUCCUCUAAAUCCCCGUCGGCGCUCUUGACGUUGUAUUUCGUAAAGAAUGUCAAAAAUAGGGUUCCACUGAAGUUGAUUGUGGCAUGUACACAUGCCUUUUUGCCGAACAACUCGUAAGAAACGACCUCUCCGAUCUACUAUUGUAUGAGAAUAACCCCCACUGUUUCCGUGCGCAUAUGGUCAGUGUGAUAUUAAAGGAUCCAUGCUGUGUGACCUAUAAUUCUAUGAUUGAGUCCGCUGUCCCAAAAGAUGAUGUGUGAAUGUUAUAUGAUUGUGCAGUUGUGACUGUAUUGAACUGUAUUAUGUUGUGUAAUCAUGUGCAAUCUGAGAUAUAUAUUUCGUGGUAGACUUUGUAAAGAUGUUCGCGAUUUGCUUGGAUGUUCGUGAGUUGCUUGUCUGUUUUUGUGGUAGGCUUUGUAAAGAUUGAGCUUCUUGGAUGUUGUCGAGUUGCUUGUGACUGUAUUGAACUGUAUUAUGCUGUGAAAUCACGUGCAGUCUGAGAUAUAUAUUUCGUGGUA